AUUCCUCAACAUGCUGGUUUUGUUUACCCGGCCUUGGUUAAGGAUCUUUGGCUUCCAGGUCAAAGGAUUUGGAAUCAAACUCUCAUUUUCUCGAUUUUUCAGCAACCUUUGGCUUCCAUUAUUGUUCAUACUGAUAUUGUUGAUGACGAAAUCCCAGAUUUGUUGUGUUGGGAUCUUACUCCAAGUGGUAUUUGUUCCUCCAAAUCUGUUUACAAAUUGUGUUUACAAGAUAUUCAUGCUAAUCCUAGACAUGCCCCUACUGUUGUACCUUUGGAUUUGAAAAAUCUGCUUAAAAUAUUUUGGAAACAAAAGAAUAUGCUUCCUAGGGUGCAAACUUUUGCAUGGAGACUUUUAAGAAAAGCUUUGCCUACGGGUAUGCGAGCUGGUCGUUUCUCGAUUCAUAUUUCUCAAAUGUGUUGUCGAUGUGGUCAAUCGGAGGAUGAGUUUCAUCUAUUUUUCCUUUGUCAUUUUGCUCGUGCGGCCUGGUUUUCUUCUCCCUGGUUUCUCAAAGCUGAUGUUUUAACCCAAGGCCAUACUACACUGCAUUCAGUGCUUAUUGCUUUCAUUCAAAGGAAUCACCCACAUGGCUCCAUCCCGAAUAUCCUAAAUUUUCUGUGGAGUCUUUGGAAAGCAAGAAAUUAUUUUCUUUUUGAUAGAAACAAAGCUCUUCCUUAUCAAGUUAGCAUUGCGGCUGGUGCUUUAAAUUUGGAGCCUCAUGAUGUUCUUUCUGGUCUUUCUAUCAAGAAUCAACAGGUUCAACACAUUCCUGCUAGCAAUCAGCUCCCCUUGCCAGGUAAUUCUCUCAGGUCUGAUCUUUUAGUUGUUGGGCCAAAAAUUUACUCUGAUGCAGCUUUCAGAACAAAAAAAGUUCCUGGCCUUCCUCCAGGUGAUGUGGCUAUAGGUGUUGGUAUCUAUAUUUCUCUUCCCUCGGACCAGGGAGAAAUUAAUAUUCAAAUUCAGGCCUCCGCUUCCUCUACAUCCACUCCUUUGCAGGCUGAAUCUAUUGCUCUUGCUUCUGCUGCUAAUAUAGCCUCUCGGCUCAAUAUUAUGGAUGCUACUUUUCUAACUGACUGUCUUACUCUUGCUAAAUGUGCUGCUUUGGCCAACACCUUAGAUCCCUCUAUUCCUUGGAAUAUCAGAAAGGAUCUUGCCAUUUUUUUGCAAACAUUCUGCAGCUCUUAA
RNAcentral lists this ribosomal RNA (1182 nucleotides) under Triticum aestivum (bread wheat). Its description in RNAcentral is "partial small subunit ribosomal RNA". The record is from RNAcentral. Lineage: Eukaryota; Viridiplantae; Streptophyta; Magnoliopsida; Poales; Poaceae.